This is a regulatory RNA element of Enterovibrio coralii, 119 nucleotides long. NCBI's taxonomy places the organism in Bacteria, Pseudomonadati, Pseudomonadota, Gammaproteobacteria, Vibrionales, Vibrionaceae. The record is from Rfam.
CAGUCGGCACCACAACCAUUAUUACCACGAUUACCAUCACCAUUUGUGAGGGUGCGGGCUGACAUGCACUGAAUUUUUAAAAGAAGCCCGUACCCUCAACAGGUACGGGCUUUUUUUUA